UAAUAACCAGGAAAUGAUGUUCUUCCUUGUUUUAUAACAAAACCGCAAUUAUGCUGAUGACGUCUAUAGUUUU
This is a regulatory RNA element of Clostridium sp. CAG:307, 73 nucleotides long. It matches the Rfam family "Fluoride riboswitch aptamer (crcB RNA motif)". Lineage: Bacteria; Bacillati; Bacillota; Clostridia; Eubacteriales; Clostridiaceae. The record is from Rfam.